AUAAGGUGGCUGAGUUCAGGCAAUGAAUUGUAAAUUCAUUUAGAAAUAAAAAAAUUUCCUUAUUA
RNAcentral lists this transfer RNA (65 nucleotides) under Xenophyes cascus. Its description in RNAcentral is "tRNA-Tyr". Lineage: Eukaryota; Metazoa; Arthropoda; Insecta; Hemiptera; Peloridiidae. The record is from RNAcentral.